AGUAUGGUUNCAAGNCUGAAACNUUAAAGGAAUCGNCGGAAGGGCCCCACCCAGGAGUGGAGCCUGCGNCUUAAUUUGACUCANCACGGGGAAACUCACCCAGGUCCAGNCNCAAUAAGGAUUGACAGAUUGAGAGCUCUUUCAUGAUUUUGUGGGUGGUGGUGCAUGGCCGUUCUUAGUUGGUGGAGUGAUUUGUCUGCUUAAUUGCGAUAACGAACGAGACCUUAACCUGCUAAAUAGCUGUAACAAUAGAUUAUUGUUUUGACAGCUUCUUAGAGGGACUAUCGAUUUUCAAGUCGAUGGAAGUUUGAGGCAAUAACAGGUCUGUGAUGCCCUUAGACGUUCUGGGCCGCACGCGCGCUACACUGACGGAGCCAGCGAGUCUAACCUGUGCCGAGAGGUAUGGGUAAUCUUGUGAAACCCCCGUCGUGCUGGGGAUAGAGCAUUGCAAUUAUUGCUCUUCAACGAGGAAUUCCUAGUAAGCGCAAGUCAUCAGCUUGCGUUGAUUACGUCCCUGCCUUUUGUACACACCGCCCGUCGCUACUACCGAUUGAAUGGCUAAGCC
This 565-nucleotide ribosomal RNA is filed under the name uncultured Dipodascaceae. Its description in RNAcentral is "SSU rRNA". It matches the Rfam family "Eukaryotic small subunit ribosomal RNA", at positions 1122 to 1703 of the family's 1831-position model. Lineage: Eukaryota; Fungi; Ascomycota; Dipodascomycetes; Dipodascales; Dipodascaceae. The record is from RNAcentral.